AACGCUGGCGGUAUGCUUAACACAUGCAAGUCGAACGCAGUCUUCGGACUGAGUGGCGGACGGGUGAGUAACGCGUGAGAAUCUGCCUGAGGGUCGGGGACAACCACGGGAAACGGUGGCUAAUACCGGAUGUGCCGAGAGGUAAAAGACUUGUCGCCCGCAGAGGAGCUCGCGUCCGAUUAGCUAGUUGGUGAGGUAAGAGCUUACCAAGGCAACGAUCGGUAGCUGGUCUGAGAGGACAACCAGCCACACUGGGACUGAGACACGGCCCAGACUCCUACGGGAGGCAGCAGUGGGGAAUUUUCCGCAAUGGGCGCAAGCCUGACGGAGCAAUACCGCGUGAGGGAAGAAGGCUCUUGGGUCGUAAACCUCUUUUGUCAGGGAAGAAGCAAGUGACGGUACCUGACGAAUCAGCCUCGGCUAACUCCGUGCCAGCAGCCGCGGUAAUACGGAGGAGGCAAGCGUUAUCCGGAAUUAUUGGGCGUAAAGCGUCCGCAGGUGGCCGUUCAAGUCGGCGGUCAAAGACUGGGGCUCAACUCCGGAAAGGCCGUGGAAACUGAAAGGCUAGAGGGCAGUAGGGGUAGAGAGAAUUCCCGGUGUAGCGGUGAAAUGCGUAGAGAUCGGGAAGAACAUCGGUGGCGAAAGCGCUCUGCUGGACUGCAACUGACACUGAGGGACGAAAGCUAGGGGAGCGAAUGGGAUUAGAUACCCCAGUAGUCCUAGCCGUAAACGAUGGAUACUAGGUGUGGCUUGUAUCGACCCGAGCCGUGCCGUAGCUAACGCGUUAAGUAUCCCGCCUGGGGAGUACGCACGCAAGUGUGAAACUCAAAGGAAUUGACGGGGGCCCGCACAAGCGGUGGAGUAUGUGGUUUAAUUCGAUGCAACGCGAAGAACCUUACCAGGACUUGACAUGUCCGGAAUUCCCUUGAAAGGGGAGAGUGCCUUCGGGAGCC
Molecule: ribosomal RNA, 953 nt
Filed under: uncultured cyanobacterium
Lineage: Bacteria; Bacillati; Cyanobacteriota
Description: bacterial SSU rRNA
Rfam family: Bacterial small subunit ribosomal RNA
Source: RNAcentral